Molecule: microRNA precursor, 103 nt
Filed under: Marmota monax (woodchuck)
Lineage: Eukaryota; Metazoa; Chordata; Mammalia; Rodentia; Sciuridae
Source: RNAcentral
AAUGGGAUAACUGGGUCAAAUGGUGGUUCUAUUCCAUGUUUUCUGAGGAAUCUCCAUACUGCUUUCCAGAGUAGUUGUACUAAUUUGCAGUCCCACCAGCAGU